This 427-nucleotide ribosomal RNA is filed under the name uncultured bacterium. Its description in RNAcentral is "partial 16S ribosomal RNA". It matches the Rfam family "Bacterial small subunit ribosomal RNA", at positions 355 to 774 of the family's 1533-position model. The record is from RNAcentral.
UGGGGAAUAUUGCACAAUGGGCGCAAGCCUGAUGCAGCCAUGCCGCGUGUGUGAAGAAGGCCUUCGGGUUGUAAAGCACUUUCAGCGAGGAGGAAGGGUAGUGUGUUAAUAGCACAUUGCAUUGACGUUACUCGCAGAAGAAGCACCGGCUAACUCCGUGCCAGCAGCCGCGGUAAUACGGAGGGUGCAAGCGUUAAUCGGAAUUACUGGGCGUAAAGCGCACGCAGGCGGUUUGUUAAGUCAGAUGUGAAAUCCCCGCGCUUAACGUGGGAACUGCAUUUGAAACUGGCAAGCUGGAGUAUUGAAGAGGGGGGUAGAAUUCCAGGUGUAGCGGUGAAAUGCGUAGAGAUCUGGAGGAAGACCGGUGGCGAAGGCGGCCCCCUGGACAAAGACUGACGCUCAGGUGCGAAAGCGUGGGGAGCAAACA